Molecule: long non-coding RNA, 3045 nt
Organism: Mastomys coucha (southern multimammate mouse)
Lineage: Eukaryota; Metazoa; Chordata; Mammalia; Rodentia; Muridae
Exons: 9
Source: RefSeq, a predicted model, not a curated record
CACUGAAAGGUUGCUAAGGAGACGGAACUGUGCUGACAAAAGGCUUUCCUUGAAUCAGUUUUGCUACUCUUCUUUGAUGGUGGAUGGUGAUAAUCAUAAAUCACCCCAAGCAGCUUGGACACACAGAAAGAUGGAAGAAAGAGUCUUAAUUUUGUUUGGGAUGGACAAAACAUGUUCAAACUUUAAAAGUCAUCAUGUUAAAAGAUAUAUGUGCUGAAGUCUCAUUCCACCCAAACAGUCUACACUACUCCUGAAAAGUGAUUAUCAAUCUGUUGCAAUCUGAAGUUACCCAGGAGCCUGGCCAUGCCUGUGAGGAAUAAUCUUGUUCAGCUUAAUGAAAGUGGGAAUACCUACCUUAACAGUGGCUGAGCUAAUGGAUCGUCAUUGAGAGCUACAAUCUAGAAUGUAUUCAUUCAAAUUCUACAGUAGGCCAGCAAGGUCAAUACCACCCUGUAUCAUCCAUGUGCUUUGAAAAGCAACAGGCUAAUCUUCAAAUCUACUUUAUGUUUGCUACUGGUAAACCCUGUUAAAGAUGAUGAAACAGAGCUUGAGACAAGUGACUCAUGUGAGGCAAGAGAAAAGUCUAAUAGUGCCAUACAUAACAUAUCGACAACCUGAGAGAUUUCUUUGGCUACAUCAAAGGAAAAGCAAGAAGGCAUCCUUGAAAAAAGACCCAGUCAUAGGGUCUAGGUUAUAUCCUGAAUUGAAGGGCAACAGGUUUCAAUCACAGUGUACAAUCCUUUGGGUGAAAGAAGCUAGCCAUCAACUGUAUUAGAUGCAUCACAGUUUUGUGUUUGUGUGUGUGUGUGUGUGUGUGUGUGUGUGUGUGUGCAUACUAUGUACUAUAAAGACCAAGGGAGAAUAUUGUUUGAACUUAUCCCUGAUCACCUUAUUCCACUGAGAGAGAACCUGAUCCUCACUGAAUCUGGAAGUAAUGUGGCAGCCAUCAAGCUCCUGUGAGCUUGUCUCCAGCUCUCAGAGCACCAGAGUUACAUGUUUUUAUUUGAAUGCUAGUGAAUUGAUCUCAGGUUCUCAUGCUUCAUAGAUUACACCAGCUGAGCCAUGGCUCCAGCCCAUGUAUGCAUGCUUUACUUGAGUUACAUAUUCAAAUAUUUAGUAGAUGUGGAGGCUUAUGUAUAUUAGUAAACUCAUGAUAUAAAUUCUGACAAAGAAGACAUACUUGUCCUUAGGAUAUUGACCUCUUAAUACACAGUGAGCUGUAAGAAUAGUAACCACUAUAGGAUGCAUAGUUACGCUUGAUUUUGCUGAACACCACUACCUGUACUUUACUCACCUCAUUGUGCUCCUGUGACAUUUUAAGCCACCUUUCAUUUCUCUUAUUCUGCCUUAUUUUUGGUUCCAGGCCUUUGCCUUUAUGAUCCCUCUACUCCUUUAUCUUUUCCUAUAGCCAGACAGCCUAGUCUCUUCUUUCUUUUCCACACUUUCUGCUGCAUGAUGAACUAUAGCAAGAGACUCUACCUGCAGGCAGCAAUGGGCACCUCUCUGGACCCUGCAGCAUCUGCGCAUGCAUCUCUCAAUGACAUUACCUUUCGCUUACUACCAAUGCUAUCUUCUGAUAGUUCCGGCUUGCAGAGUCAGCUCCAUUCUAAGUGUUAAUUAUUUCAUAGUGUGUUUUCUGUUUCUCUCCCCCUCUCCUUCAGCUUCUGUCUACCCUCCCUACCCCUCCUUCUAUACCUCAUCUUUCUUUUCUCAAAAGCUAUGAAAGUUUGGAUUUGAAUUUUUAAGAAGAGGCUAUAAAACCCAACAAUGGAUGUUUCAGGGACUUCUUAAUAGAGAGCUGGAGCCCAACAAAAAAGGUUUCUUAACAGGAUUCUUCACCUUAUAACUAACACUUUGUUUUACAAAGAUAGUACACUGAGGAAAAACACUCUGUUCGGUUGAGAACAGGAAGCAUCACCAGCUCUUGACAGAAAUGGUACCAUUAGGAAAUGGGUAAAAACAAUCAAAAGAGAAAUUAUCUUGUUCAAGAUUUUGAGAUGUUCAGAACUGAGGUGCUGUUCCUACCAUCAACAGUUCUCAUCAGGGCCAUGAUGACUUGACACAUCUGAAGGGUGGAGAAGGAAGGUGGCUGAGGGUAAGGACUGCAACUAUGGGGAAUCUUCUAGAAGAAAAGUUUCUUGAUGGAUCUUAAGCCUAUGAUUAAUUACAGAACAGCAGUUACAUGAGUCAUAGCUCAUUAGUCACACGGAAACUCCAUCUACAUCCAGUGGAAAAAAAAAUGAGAUACAGAGACUGAAUCCAGGGCUUUGUGCAUGCAAAAUACAAGCUCUGAGCCAUGACCUCAGCUCUCUAGGCCUUUGCAAGAGAGCAUUUUUUGGACUAGAGUUGGAUCAUAAAUUCAAAGACUUGUAUACAACUCUGGUUCAAUUUCCAGCACUCUCUUGGAAAGUCUAGAUCCUUAGGAUCAAAUGUCCUCUUCUGGCUUCUGUGAGCCCUGGAUAUGUAAGUGAAGUCAAGUACAUGGGAAGCUGCCAGUGAAACACGUCCACAUCUAUCUUUUAAGUUAAACCAUGCUUGUCCUGAGAUAUAAGACAUUGUAGAAAAUGAUGUUAUUUAGGCUGUGCCUUGGCCUGAGAGAUUCUAUUUUAUAAGCAGCAUUUGACUCCACUUUGAGGGAAAAUGCAAAAGGCUUACUCUGUACUUUGAUGGGCACAUAAAGAGCACUCCAACGCCACAGACUGAUGAAGGAGUUAUUACCUUGACAUCCAUUAUUUGCAUUUUGCUAUUUUCUUAAGUUGGGCAUUGCUAUCUGGUCUUGUUUGGCCCUCUGGAGCACAGUGGUCUUACCUCAGCAUCCUGAAAACUGAAGUUACAGGCACAGUUCCUAAAUGCAGCAAAAGUCAAGAAAUAUUGGCUGUCAUCAUCAUGACCACCAUCAGUAGCAGCAGCGGCAGCAGUAGUGUCUGGCUGGAUAGUCCAUCAUUUUGUUCAAUUGUAAUCAUAUCAAGUACAUUAAUUAUUGUCUGUUCAACAAACUUAGAUCAACCCAAAUACUCAUUACCCCCCUGUUCUUGCCAUUUUCCA